ACCUUCCUUUUAUCGACGACUCCACCCAUCUCGAUUCAUCAUCCAAUCCACCACCAUUGCUCUGAUACUAGCCACCAUCUACCAUCGUCAUAUGGUCAUCUGUCGAACCUAUACACAUGUCAAUUAUACAGACAUGGUGCGUGUCGCACCUCCAUUUCCCACCGCUUUUGUUCCCCUCACACCUGCCUCACCGCCGAUGCCGACUCGUGUCCGAUUACCUGUCACGCACGCAAAACACACAUAAAUAACCAUAAAUAAAGGGCUCCCCUUCCUCUUCCGCUCCUUUUUGCUCCUGCUAUCUCCGCACUCUUUCUCUCCAACCUAGCUUGUCGCGGAGGUAUCCUUUUACCGGUGACUUCUCCUCUUCUGUUUCAUUGUUAGAUCUGCAGUCGUCGCUACCCCGUGGCCUGUCAUCCACCACCACCGCAAGCAACGAGAAAUUGGGGCGGGACAACAAUUAUCAUCCUGUCGCCGAUGAGGUUUCGAGGGUGUUUCAUUCAGCGGUAAGCUUCCUUUCCCUACUUCGCUCCUCCAUUUUAUUCAUGCUCAUGCUUAUGCUUUGCCCUUUUGCCUUCUCCCCCUCCCGCACCCCCGCUCGACUCCCAAUUGAACGGCGGGGGCGGGGCGCUAUUCACUUCUUAGGAAGAGGGAUCAAACAUUUUCAUUGUUUUUUCUUUAACUUUUUUUGUACGAUCAAUUUAGGGCAUCGUGUUUUCUUCAUCAAGGGGGUCUACACCACUUUAUUCCACCCCUUUAUUGCUACUCCUGCUUCUGCUUUGCUCUUUUGCGGUCUCCUCCUCCAGCACCGCUCCCUCCUCUUCAUCCAACUCCAGGUUGAUUGCCGGGAGAUCAUUCACCUUUUUAGGAAAAAAUAGUUAAUUUUCGUCCAUUAUAUACCCCCCUUCUUCCCUUUCCUGUUUCUUUUGGUAUGAUCUAUCUUGGAGCAUAGUUUCUAUCCAAGAAGGGGGUUUACACCAAGAAGCAAAAUAAGAAAACCAUCUGGCCUAAGAAGGUUUGUGUAUCCGCUGCAUGGUGGUCAAGUCAGAUCUUGCCUUCUCGUACUGCGUGUCUGCCUGUCCUUCUGGCCUAGGAAGUUUUUGUCUCACUCCAUCCAUCCUUUCCCCUGCGGCGCCGCCCUGUCCUUUCAGAUAGACAUCACCUUCUCCUCUGCCACAAGAAGCUCUCAACGGCUGCAGAGUCUCACAGGUGCCUCGAUAUUCCCAAAGAUGGACACGUAGGUGCCAUAUAUGGGUGGCGUACACUUAAUCUGUUGAUUAGUGGAGUGGAGUAGGAGAAUAUUGAUGAGUACAUGUGUGAAUGUUUACAUAGUACUCCACUAACAUCCAGCACUAUUCCCUUGCUUGAUUGGGGAAAAUUAAUGUAAGAGGCAGACAGUAGAUGGGACAAAAGAAAGAAAGAAAAUAGAUCCCUUGCAAGCUAGAGGCCCCUAAAAGAAAGAAAGCUAGAGGUCCUUAAAAGAAAGAACGAAAAUGGGUCCUUUGCAAGCUAGCUCGACAGUUUCAAUUAGUAUUAUUUUUUGCUUGUAAAGGAGUUAAUUGUGUGUGAACUUGGAGCUACUCACUUCGAAACCACUUAAUGUUCUUCAGAAGUUUGUUCAUUAAUUCUUGGCCCCGACGUGCGUACGUGCGUGCGUAUGGAUGAACCAUGAUGAACAACGCCCCAAAGAAAGAUUCUUCCCUGGAAAGAGAAUACUACCAACCACACAGUCUGAAAGCCAAAGGCAAUUCAGUAGAGGAAAGGGACACGAGAACAUCUGGUUAAUCUAUUAUAGGCACUGAAAUAUCUUCGAUUUUCAUCAUCGUCGAUGGAUCAUCGCCACAAGCUGGAGCGGAGUCCGGAUGAUCCAUCUGUGUUUCCAAGUCCCAACACGCCCGCCCGCAGACCCGAACAACGCUAGCUAGCACUCAACCCACUCAUGAUCCUUCGAUCAUCACAUACCUGACAAUCUAGACUCUAAUUAACAAAGCAACGAGACUGGGCCGGAGAUGCAUGCGUCCAUGGGGAUGGCGUCUAUCCGGCCGGCGAGGGGGCGCGAGAUCCGCGUCGACGGGCGGAUCUCAGGCCCUGAAGCAGGCGGCGAGGUGGAAGUGGAGGUGGCCCGAGGAGGAGCCGUGGUGGUGGUGGCCGCCGGAGACGAGGCGGCCGGAGCCGGAGCCGCCGUGCCGCUGGCCGUCGAUGACGGCCUGCACGCGGCGGAAGUUGUCGACGCCGCAGGGGAUGGUGAUGGCGCCCUGCUGCUGGAAGCCGUACUCCUCCUCGGCCUCCUUGAGGAGGCCCACGAAGAGCGGGUGCUUGAGGUAGCCCACCGGCACCACGAACCGCUCCUCCUCCUCCGCGCGGCCGCCCGGCCCCACCACGCGCACCGCCAUGCACCCCUUGGGCGGCAUCGACGAGCCGCCGCUCGAGCCCCCCGCCGCCGACGAGUGCUGCUUCCUCAGCAGGCUCACGCCCAUAUAUCUUGAUCUUCACAACACCCUACCCUGUACCAAGAAAGAAACGCUCUCUCGCUCGCUAGACCACGACGGCGACCGGCGUCCGACGGCGGGCGUCAGAGCGCGGGGCGGCGGCACGCUGGACGCUGCUGCAUGGCGGCCGUCGACUGGGUAGCUAGGGUUGGUGGCGGUGGUGGUGCUUGGCCCGUCGGGGUUCCCGGUCUCGGCUACGGCGCCUGUGCCUGCCUGCCUGCCUCGAUCUGCCCGUGCGUGCCCUGCGCUGGGUGCGUCUGGUCCGGGAGGGGGCGGGGGCGCGUGCGUAUAAGAGGCGGGGGGCGCGGGCUGCUGCGGUUUGUUGCCAUCCGCCGCUCCCUUUUCCAUACCGUAUUCCGUUUAUCUUUCCACAAGGUAUAUCGAUAACCUUUUUUUUCGGGGAAUAUCGAAAAUCUUUGCCCAUAAAUGUGGCACAGUACUGCAGUAUCCGCGCGAAAAUGAUCUCGUGAUUAAUCCCCACGUUUAUUGUUCAACGAUAAUAAUAUAUUUGCAUUUCCUGUUUUACGCCGAUCCCGUAUAUUUAGGGCUUAUUUAGUUGAGAUUCGAAAUCUUAUCUCGCCGUGUUGGGCGCAUUUAUUUCUCAAGAUAAGGUAAUUCUACACGUGACUACUAUUGUUUUCGUUUUGCUAGCUCAUGCUGGGACUGGCGUACACAUUUCUGCGGAAAAAAGAUUAGCGUAUUCAGAAAGAUUAGCGUUUUGAAUACGCUUUGAAUACGGGGAGAGGGGCAUCUGAUCCCCCCAGGGUAUAGCUAGCCGGGCUACUGUGUGUGUAGCAGCUGGAGGAAUGCCGUGUGUUGCAUCGACAGUCUUUUUUUGUGUGUGCGAGAGGGAUCUCUAGUGCCGUGUGUCGCAUACUCUCUUGACACUUCGGUUGGUGAUGCUACUGCUAGGGUAGAGGCUAGAGCUUGGUGGGCACUAGACACGGGCGCAGGUCGGUCCAGCCCGGUGAACAACUGUAUACACCAGCACCUAGUGCGACAAAACAUUACUAUUUCUUCCUUCCGUUCUAAAUUAUACCCCCUUCGUCUGGAAUUACUUAUCCACAAAUGCAUAAAAACAUAAAUAUCUAGAAUUAAAAUAUAUCUAGACAUAUUCAUUUCCAUUUCUGUGACAAGUAUUUCCGAACGGAGAGAAUACUCUGUCCGUUCCAAAUUAUAUGUAGUUCUGCUCAUUUUAGUGUGUGUAGAAUGUAUAUAGACAUAUUUUAUUGGUUUAUUUAUUCACUCAUUUCAGUUGGAUAUGUAAUUUAUAUUAAAAUAUCUAGAACGUCUUAUAAUUCGAAACAAAUAUGAUAUUUAAAAUCUAGGUUAGUUGUAAGUCAAACUUCUUUAUGUUUUUACGUUUGAGCAAGUUUACUGACAAAAGAAACCAACAUUUACAACGCCGAAUUAGCUUCAUUAUGGCAUCUCCAACGCCGUUCUCUAAAACAGACACACCAUUCAUUCGCGGACUGGUUCGGAUUGGUCUGUGAACUCGGAUUCGAGAGCCGGCCAUCCAACAAUGUCCCAUAAAUGUCCGCUCCUGAUGUUUUUCUUAUCCGCAAAAUUCAAAAUAAUAAUAGAAAAUAACACAAUUCAUCCAUAAAUAGCUUGCAAAUAUUCCUAGUAUAACAAUAGUUCAACACGUGUAAAUAUUACAUUCGAGAUAGACGGAUGUUCAACAAGUUUUUUGAAUCCAUCGAUUCCAAAUUCAACGGUACGCAAGUCAUAAUCGUCAGAUAUCCUCACACGCACGGUCGCCCUUAAGCUUCACCCAAUAAUGUUGAAUGUGAAUGGUCUACUCUCGGUCCUGUAGUACAACACGAUAAUGUUAGACAUUGAGUGAAUCAAUGAACUGAUCAACAUGUAGAGCAACAAGAAGCAAACACUACAAUCUUCAUGGUUGUCGAGCCUGAUGGCCACUUUGUCUCCACUCGUGCAACCACGCCACAAUACUUCAUGAAGGCGUUAGAGAUGGUGUACCACCUGUUGGCUAGUGACUUCACAUUACGAUCAUGGAUCACGUGCCUGUCGUAGGGCGCGAAGUGCUUCUCCUCAAGAAAUGAAGCACGCUUGUUUUGUCAAAACAGCGAGCCCCAUUGCCUCAUGCCUACAAAGUCUGCAUAUAUAAAUUUCCACGCAUCGCACAACAACAUAGACCCGCAUAUAUGACCUUCAACGCAUCGCACAACAACACAUACUCCAUCACCGAGUACCUCGCAAUCGUGCUUACUCUAGAAAACAACAAGAAGUUCAACAAAAAAGCUUUAUGCCAUUUGACCAAAUACUUGCUGGGUGUGGUGUCCGCCAUGGACGACAUCGACACGGGGGAGGGGGGGUUGCUAGAUACGGACGGAUCAUGAGUGGAUGACAUCGUAGUCCAAGGUGGGCAGUCGCGUAGGUGGCAUCUGCGGAUGUCUGGGCGACAGUCGGAGAGGUACAUCUAUGGCGCCCGAGGAGGGGGAUGCACAUCAUAUCUUUAGCUCCUUGUUGGUUCGACACUCUAUACUUAUCACUUCCAUCACUAGAAAGUGCUGCGACAAUUUCUUAAACACUUGGGGAUUAUUGACGGGGUCCUGUACCGGGGGUGGCUACCACCAAGGAGCCCGACCCCUUCAACUACAAGGUGGCCCAACAGACCCAUGAUGUGAUGCUAACCCUAGGAGGCCAUAAGACCUUCUUGACACCCAUGACUAGAGGGCGGCGGCGCCCUAGAUCGCAUCUGGCAUGUAAAACCUAGACUUCUCCUGUCUAUAUCAAGGGUUCCUCUCCAUCAUCUAUCCUCAGAUAGGAUAACUCCCGGUAGUGCCAUCAUACACCAUUGUAACCCCUCGCACGAGGUAUACCUCCAUUGUGAAUAACCAAAACCAAUAGGACGUAGCGUAUUACUCUCCGGAGGCCCGAACCUAAAUAAACCCCUCGCGUGACCUUCGAUCCAUGACUUCCAGCUGCGCUUGGACCCGUACCGAGGGAUCUGAUGGAAAUAUGCUCCAUCAGUUGGCACGACAGGCAUGGGUAGCGCUGGCUGGAGACCGAUCAUGGAUCGGAUCUUUCCCUGCUUCCGGCAACCUAUCGCCGGGGAAGAGCUUAAUCUUUGGCUCCUUCACGUUCGUCGUAGACAAGGCGGUCCGGGUCGGCAUCAACCUACCAUCCGACCUCACAGCCAUGGGACCUCCCGAAGGAUCUCCUCACGAUCUUGUCUGGACUAAGGGACGCACCCCACCACCAACCCAGAGGUGCCCUACGGGCAGCCUCCACGCCAUCCACGGAGUGGAGGCCAAUCCAGCAAUUCAGCUAGUCAUGAGUUCUGCGAGGCCUGCCACCUUAGCAAAGUGCCAGGAGACUGUCUCGUCACCGACCUAGAAACACACGAAGACGCCGAUGCGGCGAGUACAUCUUUAACCUCGAGCGACCAAAGAACACACGCCGAUCACCCUUACCAACGAGGACGAGAACACGAGCCUCCAACCCUUCCACGAGGUCAUGUACUCCGACCUCUGGGGGGGAGGAAGGGUCAUCUGCGGGCUCAGGGACUAAUGCCUCUUUAUAUCAAGGGACGUCCCUAUCCGAGGCCGCGUAAGCGAUAUUCCACCACCUAUACUUGAAAAUUUUUAUAACCAAGGGGGAGAUGACGAUGGUGAUGAUCACGAGCAUGAGGACGAGCAGGACCCAUAUACUCAGUGGCACCUGGCAACUUAUUCCAAUGGAUCACCUCUUUUCUGUAUACAGGGCACUACUGAUGUUACUAAGGAAGCAGGUGUUGUCUCGCAUGGUCGCACUCUCCGGACCUAUUCCAACAUCCGUUGCAGGGUAUUCGGGAUGGAUACUAGUGUGCUAGCGCCAACACCUUCUCCCUGGUUCAGUAUUGAUAGUCUUAGAGAAAACUCGCUCUUCCUUGGACAAAACUAUCCAAUGAUGGUGAAAAGCGAUCCAGCUUCUGUUGACACAAUGUUACUACUAUUUAUGAGAAGCAACUGUAUCUAUAUCUCGGACAUUGCAAUGCUUCCAUCAUAAUAUGGGUAUUGAAAUAGGCCGCUUCAGCCUGGAUGAUCAGUCCUGCGUUGGUCUCGAGAUUGACACUAGCUGGCCCUUCCCAGAGAAUCACUUCUGGUUCAAAGCAAGAAUUUCCAACGCCGACGAGUGGUUGAGCUGAAGUUCAUUUCAUUGCUUUCUUAUUUGUUGUGUGAGAAAAACUUUACUUUACUAGAAUUUUUUGUUGGAAAUGAUCUAUAAUCCAACAUGUAUCCUCGUUGUCGUUGUGGGUUGAUGACUUGUUAUGUGUAAUCAAUGGUACAUUUGCAUAUGCGUCCAUCAACUCACACCUGCUAGUGGUAUCCAUAUGAACAGUGCUAGUGAUUUUAGUUGCAAAAAUUAGAUAGUGCUAGUGAUUUUUAGCUACAUAUUUUGACAAAUCACAGUGUUACAAGGUUGACAAAUGGCAAUGUUACUAGAUAAACAAAUGUCAAUCUUUCCGGUUUGACAAAUGGCAACAUACCCAAUAUGACAGAUGCAAAUC
RNAcentral lists this long non-coding RNA (7002 nucleotides) under Triticum aestivum (bread wheat). RNAcentral's name for it is "long non-coding RNA (TAES_LNC015053)". The record is from RNAcentral. Lineage: Eukaryota; Viridiplantae; Streptophyta; Magnoliopsida; Poales; Poaceae.